This 230-nucleotide unclassified non-coding RNA is filed under the name Lyophyllum shimeji. Its description in RNAcentral is "ITS1". Lineage: Eukaryota; Fungi; Basidiomycota; Agaricomycetes; Agaricales; Lyophyllaceae. The record is from RNAcentral.
UUGAAUAAACUUGGUUGGGUUGUUGCUGGCUCCUCGGAGUAUGUGCACGCCUAGCGCCAUUUUUACCACCUGUGCACCUUUUGUAGACCUGGAUAUCUCUCGAGGAAACUCGGUUUGAGGACUGCUGUGUGAAAGCCAGCUUUCCUUGCAUUUCUGGGUCUAUGUUUUUAUAUACCCCAUAAGAAUGUAACAGAAUGUCGUUUACUGGCCUUUGUGCCUUUAAUCAAAUA